Molecule: ribosomal RNA, 434 nt
Filed under: uncultured Pseudoflavonifractor sp.
Lineage: Bacteria; Bacillati; Bacillota; Clostridia; Eubacteriales; Oscillospiraceae
Description: bacterial SSU rRNA
Rfam family: Bacterial small subunit ribosomal RNA
Source: RNAcentral
ACGGGAGGCAGCAGUGGGGAAUAUUGGACAAUGGGGGAAACCCUGAUCCAGCGACGCCGCGUGAGUGAAGAAGUAUUUCGGUAUGUAAAGCUCUAUCAGCAGGGAAGAUAAUGACGGUACCUGACUAAGAAGCCCCGGCUAACUACGUGCCAGCAGCCGCGGUAAUACGUAGGGGGCGAGCGUUAUCCGGAUUUACUGGGUGUAAAGGGCGCGUAGGCGGGACGGCAAGUCAGGUGUGAAAUCUAUGGGCUUAACCCAUAAACUGCAUUUGAAACUGUCGUUCUUGAGUGCUGGAGAGGUAGACGGAAUUCCUUGUGUAGCGGUGAAAUGCGUAGAUAUAAGGAAGAACACCAGUGGCGAAGGCGGUCUACUGGACAGUAACUGACGCUGAGGCGCGAAAGCGUGGGGAGCAAACAGGAUUAGAUACCCUGGUA